AUUCUUUUGUAGUUCAUAAGCAUGACGAUUGGGUUUUCAUGCUCCUAUGUGAGCCGUGCCUCCCUCAAACCUUGUUACACCAUCAGCAUGUCACCCUUCCGACA
Molecule: small nucleolar RNA, 104 nt
Organism: Nycticebus coucang (slow loris)
Lineage: Eukaryota; Metazoa; Chordata; Mammalia; Primates; Lorisidae
Product: small nucleolar RNA U13
Exons: 1
Source: RefSeq, a predicted model, not a curated record